GUUCGCCCAAGCGUCACUUUGCGCCUUGCACUCUCAAGAGCUUUUUAAGAGUUUCUCUUCAAUUUUCCCAUUACCCACUCACUAAAACUUCUUUGUUCAUCACUUUUGCACCAUUCCUUUGGCAAAGUUUGGGGUUUUUGGUGAGGGCACUGCAUUUGGGAAGCAUCCAUCAUCAUUCAAGGAGAAUUUUUCCAAGCAUUCAAAGUUUCUCCACCCAAGUAAGUCAUACAAUUUUCAUCUUAGGGUUUCUAGAAUAUGAAUUUGAUGAAAGCAUGUGUAGAAGCAUGAAAAAUUAGGGCUUUUGAUUUCUAUGCAUGAUUUGAUGAAAUAAAUAGAUUUUGCACGGAUUAAAUUGUAUGAUUUUGGUCUAGAACUGAGGAAUUUGCAUUUAGGUGGAGAUUCGUUCUUCUGCUUGGGUGUGAUGAAGGAUAUGGAAGACCCAUUCUGUUAUGUUCCCCCUUUCCAUUUCCAAAACGUGUCCUUUUUUCACUCUAUAUUUUUUUUCGUUUUCCUUUUUUUUUCUUUCAUUUUCUUUUCUUUAUUUUCUUUUUUGUUCUUUCUUUUUUUUUUCUUUUUCAUUGCUUUUCCUUUUAUCUUUUUUAUUCUUUCGUUUUUUUCUUUUACUUUUUUUUUCAUUCAUUUUUUCUUUUUCUUUUUCAUCAUUUCUUUUUCGUUUUCUUUUUCCUUCUUUUUUUUCGAAAUAAUAAAAUCAAAUGAAAACUAAAAUUAAUUCCAAAUAAUAAAAUAAAAUAAAA
Molecule: long non-coding RNA, 755 nt
Filed under: Vigna radiata
Lineage: Eukaryota; Viridiplantae; Streptophyta; Magnoliopsida; Fabales; Fabaceae
Description: long non-coding RNA (VRAD_LNC006662)
Source: RNAcentral